ACAGGUAUCUGUUAGGUGGCCCUUGCUCUGUCGCCUGAUGCUGACCAGCUUCCCUGCUGACCGGAGGCUCCAGCGGGAGCUGCUGGCUGAGUUGGCCAGGCUGGUGUACUUGGUAGAGCCCUUGGUAUCAUCUUCCCAGCCAGACCAGGGUGGGCAGCCACUUAGACCAUCCUCGGCAUCGGCUGCCAAACCUUCAGCACAAUCUCUUUGCCUUGCUGGUAAUGUCACCCUCUCAAGAUGGCCGCUUAUGACUCACCCUUUGGACUUGGGAGAUUUGGACGCCUGGAUCAGAUGCUGUUCGUCAUCUUUAUUAAACAGAGAAGUUACUUCUUUCCAACCUCUGAGACUUGCUCCCUGAAUAGGUGAAAGGUGCCUGAUGCAGACACCUACAGAGCCACGGAAGUCACAGCACUGCCGGGGAAGGCUUGCGUCUGUCCUGUGAUCCUCAGCUCAGGGCGAGGGGGCCACAUCAGUCUACACGAAUCAGGCACAGAGUCCUGGUCUGAUCCACUUGUGCCUAGCAGCAACUGUCCCCAAAGCCCCUCUCUGGAAUCCAGUCAGAAACCCGCAAAACAAACACUGUGACUCCCCGCGAGGACACAAACUGUGAGGCCUCAAGUCACUUGACUGAAGCAGUAUCUACAAAGCACAGGAAGCCUGAACCAAGUGUUUUGGGGGGUAUUAUGUCCAGCAAGCCCAAACCCUCCGGGGCAGACACCAUAAAGCACAAACCUCCACCAAGCUAGGCCAGCUGACUCACUUGCUUGCCCUUCCCCAGCUGGGGCUGCACAUUCCACGGAUCCCUGACCAUGGUUGCCAGGGAGCCGGUCUGCAUCGUAAGACAAGCCAGCAAGAGAGGGAACUCGGGAGCUUUGCUUGCUGCCCAAUGCCUGUUUGCACUGGUGUUAUUAGGAUGCAGCCUGCAGCCAAUGGGAUCGAAACAAGUAGCCUUGAUGAGGGAAACGGAACA
Molecule: long non-coding RNA, 970 nt
Organism: Peromyscus eremicus (cactus mouse)
Lineage: Eukaryota; Metazoa; Chordata; Mammalia; Rodentia; Cricetidae
Exons: 3
Source: RefSeq, a predicted model, not a curated record